GACGAACGCUGGCGGCGUGCUUAACACAUGCAAGUCGAGCGGAAAGGCCCUUUCGGGGGUACUCGAGCGGCGAACGGGUGAGUAACACGUGAGUAAUCUGCCCCUGGCUCUGGGAUAGCCACCGGAAACGGUGAUUAAUACCGGAUACGACCACUUCUCGCAUGGGAUGGUGGUGGAAAGUUUUUCGGCCAGGGAUGUGCUCGCGGCCUAUCAGCUUGAUGGUGAGGUAAUGGCUCACCAUGGCUUCGACGGGUAGCCGGCCUGAGAGGGUGACCGGUCACACUGGGACUGAGACCCGGCCCAGACUCCUACGGGAGGCAGCAGUGGGGAAUAUUGGACAAUGGGCGGAAGCCUGAUCCAGCAACGCCGCGUGAGGGAUGACGGCCUUCGGGUUGUAAACCUCUUUCAGCAGGGACGAAGCGCAAGUGACGGUACCUGCAGAAGAAGCACCGGCCAACUACGUGCCAGCCGCCGCGGUAA
This 480-nucleotide ribosomal RNA is filed under the name uncultured bacterium. RNAcentral's name for it is "partial 16S ribosomal RNA". It matches the Rfam family "Bacterial small subunit ribosomal RNA", at positions 28 to 523 of the family's 1533-position model. The record is from RNAcentral.